RNAcentral lists this long non-coding RNA (1347 nucleotides) under Anas platyrhynchos platyrhynchos (common mallard). RNAcentral describes it as "lncRNA (ENSAPLG00000018394.1)". Lineage: Eukaryota; Metazoa; Chordata; Aves; Anseriformes; Anatidae. The record is from RNAcentral.
GGGGGGGAGGGGGGAGGGGGCGGGGUCAGGGGAGGGGGCGGAGUCUGUUAAAUAAGCGGGGGCGGGGCCAGGCGGCUGUCAAUCAAACGGGGCUGUCAAUCAAACGGGGCUGUCAAUCAAAUGGAGCUGUCAAUCAAGUGUCAACUGGAGCUGUCAAUCAAACGGGGCUGUCAAUCAAAUGGAGCUGUCAAUCAACCCGGGCUGCUGUCAAUCAACCCGGGCUGUCAAUCAAGUGGAGCUGUCAAUCAAACGGGGCUGUCAAUCAAAUUGAGCUGUCAAUCACCGGCUGCUGUCAAUCAGGGGCUGUUAUUUGAUGAGCUGUCAAUCAAAUGGGGCUGUCAAUCAAACGGAGCUGUCAAUCACGCGCUGCCUGGAGUGUCAAUCAAGUGGAGCUGUCAAUCAAAUAGAGCUGUCAAUCAAACAGGGCAGCCAAAUAGAGCUGUCAAUCAAAUCUCCCCAUCAAAUAGAGCUGUCAAUCAAAGGGCUACCAAUCAAACUGAGCUGUCAAUCAAGCAUAAAUUGUCAAAUUGAGCUGUCAAUCAAAUAGAGAGGUCCCAUGGAGCUGUCAAUCAAUUCUAUCUAUCAAAAUGAGCUGUCAAUCAAUGAGCUAUCAAUCAAAUUGAGAUGUCAAUCAAACAGCCAUCACUCCAAGGGGGCUGUCAAUCAAUUCUAUCCUUCAAAUUGAGCUGUCAAUCAAAGCUAUUCAUCAAAUGGAGCUGUCAAUCAAAGGGAUAUCAAUCAAAUUGAGCUGUCAAUCAAAGAGCUAUCAAUCAAAUUGAGCUGUCAAUCAACAAACUAUCAAUCAAAUGGAGCUGUCAAUCUAUUCUAUCAAUCACAUAGAGCUGUCAAUCAAACACACGGCAUCAAAUUGAUCUGUCAAUCAAGCAGCCAUCACUCCAAUGGGGCUGUCAAUCAAUUCUAUCCUUCAAAUUGAGCUGUCAAUCAAAGCUAUUCAUCAAAUUGUGCUGUCAAUCAAAGGGAUAUCAAUCAAAUUGAGCUGUCAAUCAAAGAGCCAUCACUCCAAGGGGGCUGUCAAUCAAACCUAUCCAUCAAAUUGAGCUGUCAAUCAAAGGGAUAUCGAUCAAAUUGAGCUGUCAAUCAACAAACUAUCAAUCAAUUGGAGCUGUCAAUCAAUUCUAUCCAUCACAUCGAGCUGUCAAUCAAACACAAGGGAUCAAAUCGAGCUGUCAAUCAAAGACACUCACCGGCCCCUCCUCACCGGGGGGGGUCUCUGGCCGUGGGGGGGGGCUCCUCCUCCCCCGCCCCCCCCCCCCCCCUUUGCGCCUCCCCUGCAGCCGCUCCCGGCACCGCUCCAGCAGCCCCCGGCGCCCCCCCCCCCAAUUUGGG